CUUUUUCUUGCGCGUGCGUGCAGCUCCUUUACUCAGCCGCGGAGGUGGAGGGCGGGUGGGGCCUGUGGGCCCGAGGGUCCAUAGAUGACGUUAUCAGUUCAUAGGCAUUUAGUCUGGUGUUCGAGGAAAACAAGGGUGCAGCUUAAGCGAAAAGAAAAACGUCUUAUUGCUAGUGUCUAAACUCAUAACAGCAGAAUGUGUUUCCGACUAUGUGUAUUAUAUGGAUACACAUGUACUUAAAACAGCGCUGCCUGUGUGCAGAGCUCUUGCUGUAUGUCAACGCUUUACAGGAGUUAUCACACUUAAGCAUCAGAGCAACUUCAUGAGAUGUCCCAGAUGUAGAAAUACAAGUUCCCCAAAUGCAGGUCUGUGAAGUGUCAGACCUCAAGAUGGACAACAAGUGUUUAAUUAGAUACAGCAUCUAGUCUACCACUGAAAUCAUAAACCUAUACAACAUUUAUUGAAAUUUGUUGAAAUUGGACAGUGCUGUAAGUACUGAUUGAUGCAGGCAUGCUAAUGGCAACAAGAGUGAGAAAUGUGUCACAGAGACUGAAAAUUCAGAGUGAAAAUUCAAUAUCAUCACACACUGCAUUAGAAGAAAUGUUGAAGAAAGUUUUUCAGACGAAAGGCGAAUGAUACCAGAUGGAAAUAUAUAUUUACACAAAGAAAUGAUAAGGGGUCAGCCAAAAUGAAGAGAAUGUUUAAUCAAGACCUGAAAGAGUUCCAAAGCUAGAUCACCUCCUUUGAAAUUGCUCUGAAAUUCAUUUUACAAUCGAAGUUCCAUACACAGCCAUUUGAUCUUCACUGCAUUCCCUCAUUAGUUCAUAGUGUUUCAACCAGUUUCUACAUGAUGACUUUCAUAUGUGCAUCAACAAGCCCAACAGCUUAUCAAGAAAGCUUGAGUCCUCUAUGUUCUAGUGACAUCCCACUUAGAUCUGACAUUAAGUUCAUUUUUUUUCCUUUAAGCUACUUCUUCCAAUUUCUUGGCUAUUGUUGAUGACAAUUUUUUUAGACCUACAAGCUUACACUCUUAGGUUCAUUUCUUCACAUUUUUCCCUUCUCAUAGGUAAACCACUGUUAAACUUGUCACUUCUUAUAAUUAUUUCUUUAUAAUUUACUUCACAUGCCCUUUUCAUUCUUAAAAUGUUCAUUUAAUCCAAGCUCUUUAAUGUCAAAUUUGUAUUACAGCCUUUUGUUUUGUUUUGUAUUAUAUUGCAUUGUAUCACAGGCUCUUGGUAUUCUCCCUGGCGCCUACCCAGCCUUAUCUCCUCUCCUACCAGAUUAUACAGAGCAUAAAAUACUGUUUUUUUCAUCAAACACUUUGUAGAGAAGUGUUGCUGGGUGAAUAAGGAAAACCUGGUUAACUGAAAAAAGGGAAUUUAAAUGGGUCUCCUUUCCUUUCAGUGAUUCUAAGAAGAGCAGAACCUUCAGAAAUUAAUUCACAACUUAAGACAAAUACUGAAUAGAGGAUUAUUGCUAAGAAGAGACCAAUAGUAUAUGAUAAUAACCAUUGGAAAGAUAAAAGGAGACAUAAAAUUCAACUCCUGGUAGCCAUUCUUUCCCUUUUCGCUCUCUACAUACCUCAGCUGGGAAUCUAUAAAUGUGCAGUACUUGUUUGUUAUACUGGUCAUUAUUAAGUUAUCUAGGAGGCUAGGAGAGCAAUCUGUUCUGACUGUAGUGACGAAAGGAAUUCAAGUCACACCAAAUAUCUUUAUCCUGUUUAGAAACAUCCUAGCAUUUAAGGCCUCUUAGUUUAAGCCCAUUACAAGUUAUUUUCCUUUCUAUUUCAUUUUUCUCUACUCUCUUAUGUUCUGUGUUCUAUCAGAUAUCAUGUCUGAGAGAUGAACUGGCUAUUCCUGCUCUGCAAUAGUUUUAUAUAUUGCUUUAUCUCUUAGGGCCUUGAAUAGUGCCUAGCACAUAGUAAGCACUAAAUAAAUGUUUGAUGAAUGGUUAUCUUUUCUCUAUGGCAAUCCAAAUCCAUCGCUAUUUAAAAAAAAUUUUACAUGAGAUUUGCCUAUUCCAGUAAACUUCUAUCCAUUAUCAAUCUAGUUUUAAAUCACUUCACCCCCCUUAGCAAUUAUUUAUAGUUUGCAUUUCAUUACAUUUAUUAUGUUACUUUUUACAUACUUCCACAGCUUUCCUAUAUAUGUUGAAUUUUCAACUAAAAGAUAAUACCUCAAAUAUUAUAUACAGUACAUGUCUCAUGUGCUGCCGAAAGGCACUCAAUAGAUAGAUCAGCUACCUCCUUUUAGAUGUAUUCUCUGGAUCAGUGUGGCCCACACUUUUCAGUUUAGAUAAACAAGUUCUAACAUUUGCUAUUUCACUCAUAUAUUGAAACUUUGAGUAAAAUUGUUCCUUCAGUGUUUAGUUUUAAGACCAAUCAAGAAGUCUUAAUAAAGACUUCCUAAAGAAAAACAUUUUAAAGUUACAGAAGCAUCUAUAUGUUGGUAACGUUCCUCCAGAAAUAAUUAAUGUAAUAUGCAAGCUCUGGACUGGUCAAUUUGGACCUUUUCUUGGAAUCUCCAUAGAAAUGCCCAUGUAUCAGAGAACGAA
This is a long non-coding RNA of Pteropus alecto (black flying fox), 2553 nucleotides long. RefSeq lists it as uncharacterized. The record is from RefSeq and is a predicted model, not a curated record. Lineage: Eukaryota; Metazoa; Chordata; Mammalia; Chiroptera; Pteropodidae. The transcript has 6 exons.